RNAcentral lists this ribosomal RNA (1459 nucleotides) under Salmonella enterica subsp. enterica serovar Stanley. RNAcentral describes it as "bacterial SSU rRNA". It matches the Rfam family "Bacterial small subunit ribosomal RNA". The record is from RNAcentral. Lineage: Bacteria; Pseudomonadati; Pseudomonadota; Gammaproteobacteria; Enterobacterales; Enterobacteriaceae.
CAGGAAGCAGCUUGCUGCUUCGCUGACGAGUGGCGGACGGGUGAGUAAUGUCUGGGAAACUGCCUGAUGGAGGGGGAUAACUACUGGAAACGGUGGCUAAUACCGCAUAACGUCGCAAGACCAAAGAGGGGGACCUUCGGGCCUCUUGCCAUCAGAUGUGCCCAGAUGGGAUUAGCUUGUUGGUGAGGUAACGGCUCACCAAGGCGACGAUCCCUAGCUGGUCUGAGAGGAUGACCAGCCACACUGGAACUGAGACACGGUCCAGACUCCUACGGGAGGCAGCAGUGGGGAAUAUUGCACAAUGGGCGCAAGCCUGAUGCAGCCAUGCCGCGUGUAUGAAGAAGGCCUUCGGGUUGUAAAGUACUUUCAGCGGGGAGGAAGGUGUUGUGGUUAAUAACCGCAGCAAUUGACGUUACCCGCAGAAGAAGCACCGGCUAACUCCGUGCCAGCAGCCGCGGUAAUACGGAGGGUGCAAGCGUUAAUCGGAAUUACUGGGCGUAAAGCGCACGCAGGCGGUCUGUCAAGUCGGAUGUGAAAUCCCCGGGCUCAACCUGGGAACUGCAUUCGAAACUGGCAGGCUUGAGUCUUGUAGAGGGGGGUAGAAUUCCAGGUGUAGCGGUGAAAUGCGUAGAGAUCUGGAGGAAUACCGGUGGCGAAGGCGGCCCCCUGGACAAAGACUGACGCUCAGGUGCGAAAGCGUGGGGAGCAAACAGGAUUAGAUACCCUGGUAGUCCACGCCGUAAACGAUGUCUACUUGGAGGUUGUGCCCUUGAGGCGUGGCUUCCGGAGCUAACGCGUUAAGUAGACCGCCUGGGGAGUACGGCCGCAAGGUUAAAACUCAAAUGAAUUGACGGGGGCCCGCACAAGCGGUGGAGCAUGUGGUUUAAUUCGAUGCAACGCGAAGAACCUUACCUGGUCUUGACAUCCACAGAACUUUCCAGAGAUGGAUUGGUGCCUUCGGGAACUGUGAGACAGGUGCUGCAUGGCUGUCGUCAGCUCGUGUUGUGAAAUGUUGGGUUAAGUCCCGCAACGAGCGCAACCCUUAUCCUUUGUUGCCAGCGGUCCGGCCGGGAACUCAAAGGAGACUGCCAGUGAUAAACUGGAGGAAGGUGGGGAUGACGUCAAGUCAUCAUGGCCCUUACGACCAGGGCUACACACGUGCUACAAUGGCGCAUACAAAGAGAAGCGACCUCGCGAGAGCAAGCGGACCUCAUAAAGUGCGUCGUAGUCCGGAUUGGAGUCUGCAACUCGACUCCAUGAAGUCGGAAUCGCUAGUAAUCGUGGAUCAGAAUGCCACGGUGAAUACGUUCCCGGGCCUUGUACACACCGCCCGUCACACCAUGGGAGUGGGUUGCAAAAGAAGUAGGUAGCUUAACCUUCGGGAGGGCGCUUACCACUUUGUGAUUCAUGACUGGGGUGAAGUCGUAACAAGGUAACCGUAGGGGAACCUGCGGUUGGA